AUUGAACGCUGGCGGCAGGCUUAACACAUGCAAGUCGAGCGGAGACUUCGGUCUUAGCGGCGAACGGGUGAGUAAUACCUAGGAAUCUGCCUAUUAGUGGGGGAUAACGGCUCGAAAGGGUCGCUAAUACCGCAUACGUCCUACGGGAGAAAGUGGGGGAUCUUCGGACCUCACGCUAAUAGAUGAGCCUAGGCCGGAUUAGCUAGUUGGUAGGGUAAAGGCCUACCAAGGCGACGAUCCGUAGCUGGUCUGAGAGGAUGAUCAGCCACACUGGAACUGAGACACGGUCCAGACUCCUACGGGAGGCAGCAGUGGGGAAUAUUGGACAAUGGGGGCAACCCUGAUCCAGCCAUGCGCGUGUGUGAAGAAGGCCUCGGUUGUAAG
RNAcentral lists this ribosomal RNA (384 nucleotides) under uncultured bacterium. RNAcentral describes it as "bacterial SSU rRNA". It matches the Rfam family "Bacterial small subunit ribosomal RNA", at positions 30 to 429 of the family's 1533-position model. The record is from RNAcentral.